AAGACCUUGCGCUUUUGGAGCGGCCGAUGCCUGAUUAGCUAGUUGGUGGGGUAACGGCCUACCAAAGCUUCGAUCAGUAGCUGGUCUGAGAGGACGGCCAGCCACACUGGGACUGAGACACGGCCCAGACUCCUACGGGAGGCAGCAGUGGGGAAUUUUGGACAAUGGGCGCAAGCCUGAUCCAGCCAUGCCGCGUGAGUGAAGAAGGCCUUCGGGUUGUAAAGCUCUUUCAGCCGGGAAGAAAAGGUUGCGAUUAAUAAUCGCAAUUUAUGACGGUACCGGAAGAAGAAGCACCGGCUAACUACGUGCCAGCAGCCGCGGUAAUACGUAGGGUGCGAGCGUUAAUCGGAAUUACUGGGCGUAAAGGGUGCGCAGGCGGUUUUGUAAGUCAGAUGUGAAAUCCCCGGGCUUAACCUGGGAACU
RNAcentral lists this ribosomal RNA (423 nucleotides) under uncultured bacterium. RNAcentral's name for it is "bacterial SSU rRNA". It matches the Rfam family "Bacterial small subunit ribosomal RNA", at positions 207 to 622 of the family's 1533-position model. The record is from RNAcentral.